RNAcentral lists this ribosomal RNA (301 nucleotides) under uncultured bacterium. RNAcentral's name for it is "partial 16S ribosomal RNA". It matches the Rfam family "Bacterial small subunit ribosomal RNA", at positions 509 to 807 of the family's 1533-position model. The record is from RNAcentral.
CAGUAGCCGCGGGAAUACGUAGGUGGCAAGCGUUGUCCGGAAUUAUUGGGCGUAAAGGGCUCGCAGGCGGUUUCUUAAGUCUGAUAUGAAAGCCCCCGGCUCAACCGGGGAGGGUCAUUGGAAACUGGGAAACUUGAGUGCAGAAGAGGAGAGUGGAAUUCCACGUGUAGCGGUGAAAUGCGUAGAGAUGUGGAGGAACACCAGUGGCGAAGGCGACUCUCUGGUCUGUAACUGACGCUGAGGAGCGAAAGCGUGGGGAGCGAACAGGAUUAGAUACCCCGGUAGUCCCUGUCUCUUAUAC